Molecule: ribosomal RNA, 775 nt
Filed under: Streptomyces zhihengii
Lineage: Bacteria; Bacillati; Actinomycetota; Actinomycetes; Kitasatosporales; Streptomycetaceae
Description: bacterial SSU rRNA
Rfam family: Bacterial small subunit ribosomal RNA
Source: RNAcentral
GGCGGCGUCUUACACAUGCAGUCGUAAGAUGGAUAACAUUUCGGGGUGGAUUAGUGGCGAACGGGUGAGUAACACGUGGGCAAUCUGCCCUGCACUCUGGGACAAGCCCUGGAAACGGGGUCUAAUACCGGAUAACACCCGCCGAGGCAUCUCGGUGGGUUGAAAGCUCCGGCGGUGCAGGAUGAGCCCGCGGCCUAUCAGCUUGUUGGUGGGGUGAUGGCCUACCAAGGCGACGACGGGUAGCCGGCCUGAGAGGGCGACCGGCCACACUGGGACUGAGACACGGCCCAGACUCCUACGGGAGGCAGCAGUGGGGAAUAUUGCACAAUGGGCGAAAGCCUGAUGCAGCGACCCCGCGUGAGGGAUGACGGCCUUCGGGUUGUAAACCUCUUUCAGCAGGGAAGAAGCGAAAGUGACGGUACCUGCAAAAGAAGCGCCGGCUAACUACGUGCCAGCAGCCGCGGUAAUACGUAGGGCGCAAGCGUUGUCCGGAAUUAUUGGGCGUAAAGAGCUCGUAGGCGGCUUGUCGCGUCGGAUGUGAAAGCUCGGGGCUUAACCCCGGGUCUGCAUUCGAUACGGGCAGGCUAGAGUGUGGUAGGAGAGAUCGGAAUUCCUGGUGUAGCGGUGAAAUGCGCAUAUAUCAAGAGGAACACCGGUGGCGAACGCGGAUCUCUGGGGUCAUUACUGACGCUAAAGAGCGAAAGCGUGGGGAGCGAACACGAUUAGAUACCCUGGUACUCCACGCCGUAGGCGUUGAGAACUAUGUGUUGGCGAC